UUUUUAGAGGUUUUGAAGAAUUCUUUCGUGUGAAAAUGAUUUAGUUUUGUGCUUCAGGAAAUUAGCCUUGGAAUUAUUGGAAACCUUGCCUGCCAUGAAGCUCUGUUGAUGCAUAUAGUUUCUAUAAAUGGAUUGAUUGAGAUAGUUGUGGAUCAACUAUUCUUAGAAGAUUCUUAGUGCCUUAGUGAAGCUUGCUGGUUGUUAACUUUGGGUAUUCAAAGUAGUGAAUGCAUUACAUGGGCUAAAGCAUUGCAAUCUGAACAUGUUAUAUACUAUAUUUUAUGGAUUGUGGAAAAUACCCUAAAUCUCCAGCUUAUUGAAAAGAGGCUUCCCUUUCUGAACAGAGUGUUGGACUAUUAUUAGCCAUCAUUGAAAGUCAGCUAGAAGUUUUGCAUGUACUUCUUUCGCCUUUGAUGAAACUAGGUUUACCAAGUUUAUUGGUUAAUCCCUUGACUUUUGAGAUGAGCAAAUUAGUGAGUGAAAGAAUACCUGAAAGGUACGGCUUCACUCUGUUUUCAAUUAGGUGAUGCAAUAUGAAUUUGGUAGACUAAUUCACUUCAUAAAUGCAAUAAAAUGGGACAUUUAUGAUUUACUAUCUUGUUUAGCUAUUACGCAUUAUAUACUAGACUAGUAAAACAAAGUAACAAUCAUGUGCUACAUGAAUCGGGUGUACCGAAUGGCAAUAAUCUUUGGAAGAGGCACAUUUCAAUGCUUGAGUGGUGCUUUAUGUGUAAAAGGUGUGGGAAAUCGGUGGAUCACCUUCUUCUUCAUUGUCCUAUAGCAUAUGAGUUGUGGUCUAUGGUUUUUUGUUUGUUUGGUAUACAUUGGGUUAUGCCAUAUAAAGUUAGUAAAUUGCUUGCUUUUAAUAAAUUUAAUAUUUUUACCUCUGGGCCUUGACAUUUUGAUCCACACAGUUAAUAAAAUUUAGGUAGCUCAUCACUUAAGUCUUACCCAAUUUUAUGUGGUUUACAGGUUGUCUUUGACGCACCCAGUGGUGUAAUAUCUACAAUGAAACCUGGAGCAAAUUGGGUGGUUAUGCACUUGUUAAAGUGGAUGUAUGUGCUUUAUGGAGUAAGGAAAAUAUUGGAGGGAUGGGGUGUCCUCUACGUGGAAGUACAUGAAGAAAGGAUGCAUCAUCUUGUUUUCAAUGAUACUAGCAUUUGUCAUGGGCCUGACCUUCUUGUUGGGAAGUGGCACUUCUUCAUAUAUUUGUUACUUGAGGAUAAUUGAUGGAGCACAGUGGUUUUCAAUUUUUUUUUUCUUCUUUUAAUUAGCCAUUUUGAAAACUUGGAACCAUUUGAAUACUUAAAAAUUAGGCUGGUGCUUUGGUUUUUAUAUGAGAAUGGAGUUUAAUUUGGAAUUGCACAAUUGUGUUUAUGUUUAUAUUUUGAAUCAAGUUAUUAAAUUUGGAUCAAGUGAA
Quercus robur (English oak) is the source of this 1420-nucleotide long non-coding RNA. RefSeq lists it as uncharacterized. NCBI's taxonomy places the organism in Eukaryota, Viridiplantae, Streptophyta, Magnoliopsida, Fagales, Fagaceae. The record is from RefSeq and is a predicted model, not a curated record. The transcript has 3 exons.